This 1790-nucleotide long non-coding RNA is filed under the name Heterocephalus glaber (naked mole-rat). Its description in RNAcentral is "lncRNA (ENSHGLG00000036159.1)". Lineage: Eukaryota; Metazoa; Chordata; Mammalia; Rodentia; Bathyergidae. The record is from RNAcentral.
AGCGGAAGUGACCAAGGCAGCAUCUCUGGGCAAGUGGAGCGGCUCAGGAUGCAGCUCAGUGGCAGGGGAUGAGGCUGCACUGUGGCACCGGGUUCCAGCCCUGAUCUCGGAGGGGAGAGCCUGGUGCGCGGGUCCGGCCUCCUGCGCCUCCUCGAAGCCCUUCAGCCCCUCCUCUGUGAGACGCGAAGGGAGCCGGCGGCCGAGAGCUGCGGUCGCCGUAAAGGCGAACAAUCAGACUCCUCAGAGCUCGGUGGAGGGGCGAGAGCCAGCAGAGCGCAGCCGGCGGAGGGUGCACGCCUGUAAUCCCAGCACGCAGGAGGCUGAGGCAGGAGGGUCGCCACAAGUUUGAGACCAGCCUCGGCUAAAUAGCGGAUCCUGUCUCAAAAAAACCCCAAACAAACACAGAGCGGAGGCAGAGGGUGGGGUCGGGGAUUGAGUGGUUGGCACCGGGUUGGGGGCGGGCUCAGGGCUGCCACGCCCGGAGCGGCCACUCGGGGGCGCGAGCGGCCGGUUCCCGGCACCUGCCCUCGGGCCGCAGCCCUGCUGUCCCCCAAAGGGCUGGUGAUCCAAGCCUGGGAACCGGACCAGGCGAUCAGCGCGUGCCCCAGCAGGCCGAGGGUGCCUCCCAGCCUGUCCCGCGUGUCCUCCACCGCAGCAGCCUCCGACUCCCCAGUAGCGGGCCAAGGCCCCGGACCAUUGCGGGGCCUCGAGAGCGCCCGUCUCCGCGUCUGCACCCCUAGCCUCGCUCGGCUCCGGAGGGACCUGGUGCGCCUGCUUCAGACCCCGCUCCGGCGACCUGGUGGGCACAGCCUCCGCUGCUCCACCCCGGAAAGGCACCGAGCGAAGGGGCGGCAUCUGCUUGGAGGGAGAAGAUUCGGGGUCCCAGGAAAGCGUCAUUCCCAGGCCGCCCGCGUCCUCUCCCCUCACAGCAGCUGGAGUCCCGCUCUGGGGGCCUGCGGAGGGGGCCGAGGCCAACCUGGGCAACUUAGCAAGACCUUGCAGCCCCCAAAACAAGGCCCAGGGCGCAGCGCAGCGGCUGAGAGCUCCGGUUCCAUCCCAGGACUGUGGAACAGCACCACGCACCCAGCUGCGGCUGUACCGACAAGCAGGCAGCUCCGGAAGUGGAGCACGGGCCUCUCCGGGCGGACGAGGGCUCCACAGGGGAAGGCCAGGCCAGGCGCCGUCGCCGGCAGCAGCGGGACGGCCGCUUGCACCUUGCCCCUGGAGUGGCCAAGGCUGGGUGCCCGCGCAGGGCCUCCCCGGACAGCGGAGGGGCAGGCAGGGUUUCCGGGCUCUGCCCGUCUGCAGGGGCUCAGCCAGGCCCCGCCGUGCCCCUCCGCUCCUGGCACCGAGGACUUCGUUGCCUGGCCACGCCCCCCCCCCCCGCGCGCGCCUAUUACACAUGGAAGCCGAGUGACUGGCCACCCCGGAAGGGCAGCCUUCCCGAGCGCCCGGUGUGAGCGACAGCCUGCUCCCAGCGAAGCAAGAGGCAGGCCGAACUGCAGGUUUGCAGCUGUGCUUCCAAAACCCACCGGAGACAAGCCCGGGAGGUGACAGAGCAGCGCACGCUCAUGGCCCUGUCCCCGCAGCGCUAGAGAAACUCCUGCAGAGUGUGCCUGAAGUGAGAGCUACAGCAAUAAAGAAACAUUUGCACCGCUGAUUUGUGUGGUGCCAUAGUUAUCGGUAUAAAAUGAAUAGCCCGUUAUGCAGGCCAAGAAAUAGGGCGUCCUCGUGUCUUCGCUGUAAUUUAAUGUCUGCAAGCUUCUCUCCUCAGUAGAGCACACUUUGCA